AUUGAACGCUGGCGGCAUGCUUUACACAUGCAAGUCGAACGGUAACAGGCCUUCGGGUGCUGACGAGUGGCGAACGGGUGAGUAAUGCAUCGGAACGUACCCAGAGGUGGGGGAUAACGCAGCGAAAGCUGUGCUAAUACCGCAGGUGAUCUGAGGAUGAAAGCGGGGGACCGAGCAGCAAUGUUUGGCCUCGCGCCUUUGGAGCGGCCGAUGUCGGAUUAGCUAGUUGGUGGGGUAAAGGCCUACCAAGGCGACGAUCCGUAGCUGGUCUGAGAGGACGACCAGCCACACUGGGACUGAAACACGGCCCAGACUCCUACGGGAGGCAGCAGUGGGGAAUUUUGGACAAUGGGCGCAAGCCUGAUCCAGCAAUGCCGCGUGCGGGAAGAAGGCCUUCGGGUUGUAAACCGCUUUUGGCAGGAACGAAACGGUGUCCGCUAAUACCGGGCGCUAAUGACGGUACCUGCAGAAUAAGCACCGGCUAACUACGUG
This 492-nucleotide ribosomal RNA is filed under the name uncultured bacterium. RNAcentral describes it as "partial 16S ribosomal RNA". It matches the Rfam family "Bacterial small subunit ribosomal RNA", at positions 29 to 507 of the family's 1533-position model. The record is from RNAcentral.